RNAcentral lists this ribosomal RNA (468 nucleotides) under uncultured bacterium. Its description in RNAcentral is "partial 16S ribosomal RNA". It matches the Rfam family "Bacterial small subunit ribosomal RNA", at positions 28 to 507 of the family's 1533-position model. The record is from RNAcentral.
GACGAACGCUGGCGGCGUGCUUAACACAUGCAAGUCGAACGGAAAGGCCCUGCUUUUGUGGGGUGCUCGAGUGGCGAACGGGUGAGUAACACGUGAGUAACCUGCCCUUGACUUUGGGAUAACUUCAGGAAACUGGGGCUAAUACCGGAUAGGAGCUCCUGCUGCAUGGUGGGGGUUGGAAAGUUUCGGCGGUUGGGGAUGGACUCGCGGCUUAUCAGCUUGUUGGUGGGGUAGGGGCUUACCAAGGCUUUGACGGGUAGCCGGCCUGAGAGGGUGACCGGCCACAUUGGGACUGAGAUACGGCCCAGACUCCUACGGGAGGCAGCAGUGGAGAAUAUUGCACAAUGGGCGGAAGCCUGAUGCAGCAACGCCGCGUGCGGGAUGACGGCCUUCGGGUUGUAAACCGCUUUCGCCUGUGACGAAGCGUGAGUGACGGUAAUGGGUAAAGAAGCACCGGCUAACUACGUG